This 508-nucleotide ribosomal RNA is filed under the name uncultured bacterium. Its description in RNAcentral is "bacterial SSU rRNA". It matches the Rfam family "Bacterial small subunit ribosomal RNA", at positions 29 to 527 of the family's 1533-position model. The record is from RNAcentral.
AACAAACGCUGGCGGCGUGCCUAACACAUGCAAGUCGUACGAGAAAGUCGGCUUCGGCCGAUGAGUACAGUGGCGCACGGGUGAGUAGCGCGUGGGUAAUCUGCCCCCCGGUCAGGAAUAACCCGCCGAAAGGCGGGCUAAUACCCGAUAACACUGACGCUCCGCGGAGCGUCUUUCAAAGAAGGCCUCUGUUUACAAGCUUUCGCCGGAGGAUGAGCCCGCGUACCAUUAGCUAGUUGGCGGGGUAAAUGCCCACCAAGGCUAUGAUGGGUAGCUGGCCUGAGAGGGUGGUCAGCCACACUGGGACUGAGAUACGGCCCAGACUCCUACGGGAGGCAGCAGCUAAGAAUCUUCCUCAAUGGGGGAAACCCUGAAGGAGCGACACUGCGUGCAGGAUGAGGGCCCUUUGGGUUGUAAACUGCUUUUGCAGGGGAGAAAUAACCGAAUGGGAUGAUAGUACUCUGCGAAUAAGUCCCGGCUAACUACGUGCCAGCAGCCGCGGUAAUCG